CCUACGGGACGCAGCAGUAGGGAAUUUUCGUCAAUGGGCGCAAGCCUGAACGAGCAAUGCCGCGUGAACGAGGAAGGUCUUCGGAUCGUAAAGUUCUGUUGAAGGGGAAAAAGAGCGGAGAGAGGAAAUGGUCUCCGAUUGAUAUUACCCUUCGAGGAAGUCACGGCUAACUACGUGCCAGCAGCCGCGGUAAUACGUAGGUGGCGAGCGUUAUCCGGAAUGAUUGGGCGUAAAGGUGGCGUAGGCGGCCUGCUAAGUCUGGAGUGAAAGUGACCGGCUCAACCGGGACAGGCACUGGAAACUGG
RNAcentral lists this ribosomal RNA (305 nucleotides) under uncultured bacterium. Its description in RNAcentral is "bacterial SSU rRNA". It matches the Rfam family "Bacterial small subunit ribosomal RNA", at positions 338 to 636 of the family's 1533-position model. The record is from RNAcentral.